ACUAAAUCUUAGGGUUGGGAAACUUUGGUGUAAUUCCGGGACUGUGCCGCAACUGUAAAGCAAUUGGAGAUAAUUGGAACACCCUAAAAAUCCUAAAAAUCCCCAAUUGAGUAAGUCAGAACGCCAACUCUAGA
This 134-nucleotide non-coding RNA is filed under the name Aphanizomenon flos-aquae. Lineage: Bacteria; Bacillati; Cyanobacteriota; Cyanophyceae; Nostocales; Aphanizomenonaceae. The record is from RNAcentral.